AAAAAAACAAACAGAAAGAACCCGCACGGCGCACGUUCUCCAUCUCCUUCCCCGACCUGUCUGUCUCCGUCCUCAGAUCUCAGCGCCUCCUUCCCCAUGUCCACCGGACGAGGCCCUCUCCAUCGGCCCUAUCCAGCGGACGGCCCCCUCUCCGGCGACCAGACGGGCGCUUCCCUUUACUCCCAUCAAUUUGGCAUCGCCCCGCCCAUGGAGCUUUCGCCAUGCCCGCCAGCGGCCAUGGUCGGGACCGACACCAUACUUGGAUGGAGAGGUCUGACAACGGACCAAUGCGACCGUGGUGGUCUGACCACGGCGGUGGAUGCGGCGACGGAGGUCUAGGAGGAGAGAUACGUGCGCUACAACUCUGAAGGCGGCGACGGAGACCAGGGAGGAGGAGAAGGAAAGGUAAGCCAGCUACACAGUGGGGGAGGUCGAGGAGACGAGGGAGAGGCACGCUCUCAGGUCUCGGCAGUGUGUGUAGGGUGCUCGCUAGAAUUCCCCACUCAUGGAAGCAGGCGAAGUAGCGCACCCUGCCACCGAACAUGACAGCUCUGAGUAUUGGUUAAGAAGAUUUCCAACGCCAAAUCUGGUAUCACCUUGCCCUUCUUUUCUAAUUUUGAAAAUAAUCGGAGAUGCCUGUGUCCUUAUCGUCUGUUUGGUUGACUUCGUGUUAGCGUCGUAGAAUUAAACUAAUUUAUUCAUAUGAUGUUGGUCAGUUUAGGAUAUUUAUUAUUUCCUUGGUGUUUGAUGUGUUGCUGCAUACCAGAACGAAGCUACAAAGGUGAACCAGCUAGCGAUGGUUGCAGGGAACAAGACAAUGGAUCCUCGUGAUGAGAGCAGAUGCGUACUGCUUGGUUUGGAUGGCAGAGGCAAACCAAAUAAGUGGGGUAAGGUUCUCUCAAAAAAAAAGUGGGGUAAGGAACACACACCACAUGGCCCAGAUGGUGAGCUCAUCUCCUCGCUUCUUUUAUUUUAUUUUAUCUGUGUGGAGUGAUGUGCUACAGCCUUAGUAAAAUAUCUCCAUAUCCAUACUCCUUAAAUCAGUUUAUGUUUGGUAGUGAUCUUUAAGGCUGUCUUCUUUCUAAUCUUGUUAGCGGGAAAAAUCAAGAAACAUUCCCUGAUAUUACAUAAUUGCAAACUUAUUCAGUGUCUGGUGCAGUUCUAAUCUCAUAUUGUUACUGAUGAAGAACUGAAAACACUGCAAGAUGCGAUGGAAGAGAAACUCCAGGGCAAGUGACAACUUAGCCGAGACUUAAGACCCCAUGAUCGUCAUUUUGCACUUAAGACACAGAACCACCAGAAAGUGUUCUCCCUUAUGUAUCAUGUUGUCAUGGGUGAUGAUCCAGAGGUGAAGGGUAAUGUAGUACCCAGUCUGUUUAAUCUUUGAACGUGCACCAUCAGGUGUAGCAACAAAAAGAAUGCUGGAAUGUAAAGGGUCACAGCAGUUACAUUUGCACAACAUUUCUGCCUUUUGGUUAUGAGGUAAAAACUACAAACUAUUUCUUUACAAAGAAUCUGACCAAGUACUCACUUCCCUGUUGGAUUUCAGUUUCACGGAAUAGAUUAUUUAUAUGACUGGGAGGUUCAAGUGACGGACCACAAUUUUGCAGGGUGAUAUACUUAGGCAAAGCUAGAAUUUUUGUUUGGGUUAGUGUUAACCGUUGAGCAGUUUUGUUGUGUCCACCUUGGUGAUUGCAAACCACUGCAUACUUCAAUAAAGACUGCCACAUCAAUUUUGAUGUGUGCAGGGCUCUUCUACUUCUCUUUGUUCUCAAAGAAUUUUGUACUGUAGGCUGUACUACUGAAUUUCAGGGUCGCAGCAGCAAGGGUGAGGUGGAGUGCGGGGAAUGCAGGCAUAGGCAAGAUGUUGCGCUGAGGUUACCAGCUACACAUGCAUCACUGCCUCCAGUCAAAUUUGGGCGACUGGCAUUUCGGAAAAAUAUUCAAAAGAUCAUGCUGGGGCAUGCGACGACACCUCACGCAUUGACACCAAGUAAAACCUAUAUCGGAUGCCAAGGAGGUAUAACGGUAAAGAAAUAGUGGAAGAGAAACGAAAGAACCCAUUUAAAGAUAGGUUGUUUUAUGGAAAUUAUCAAGAUUAUGUAUCCUUGCAGUUGUAUUGCUACUACCGAAGUUCAUUUUUUCAUGCCCAACUUCUAUCGUUCUUGCGUACAUGUCUGAAAACACACAUGCUUGCAGUAUUACUCAUUGGGUUUCCUUUCUCAGUCAAA
Triticum dicoccoides is the source of this 2231-nucleotide long non-coding RNA. RefSeq lists it as uncharacterized. The transcript has 3 exons. Lineage: Eukaryota; Viridiplantae; Streptophyta; Magnoliopsida; Poales; Poaceae. The record is from RefSeq and is a predicted model, not a curated record.